RNAcentral lists this unclassified non-coding RNA (216 nucleotides) under uncultured Thermoleophilia bacterium. Its description in RNAcentral is "contains 16S-23S intergenic spacer region". The record is from RNAcentral. Lineage: Bacteria; Bacillati; Actinomycetota; Thermoleophilia.
UCCGAUUUGUCACCUACAUGUCAAGCCCAGGUAAGGUUCUUCGCGUUGCGUCGAAUUGAACCACAUGCUCCACUGCUUGUGCGGGUCCCCGUCAAUUCCUUUGAGUUUUAGCCUUGCGGCCGUACUCCCCAGGCGGGGCACUUAAUGCGUUAGCUACGGCACCGGAGGAGUCGACACCUCCGACACCUAGUGCCCAUCGUUUACAGCGUGGACUAC